CAAGUAAGAUUUAUGGAGGCAUAGAAUCUGCUUAAAAUUACCUAUGUUGCCUCCUUCCGCCAUAUAAUCUGGUUCCUGGUUUUCUAGAGAUUCCUGUUAAGGCUUUUAGCAGCACUACCAGCAGAGGUGUCACCUCUAAUCAUUGAGUUGAUUUAUGGGAUUUUUUUCCUUCUGAGAUCUAGAAUUGCAACAGGUGACUUAAAGAAAGCAAAACUUUUCCAGGUGGCAACUCUUCCCAACACCAAGGUCACCCAGAUAUGGAAAAAUGUUCACCUUCAGCAUUCUAUCCUCUCUAACGCAGUGGUUGUCUGCGCAAGGAUUGCAGAGGAUGGUGAGGGAAAAAGACCUUUAAAACCCACUCUGAGGCAAAACCU
This 374-nucleotide long non-coding RNA is filed under the name Bos taurus (domestic cattle). RNAcentral describes it as "long non-coding RNA NONBTAT019804". Lineage: Eukaryota; Metazoa; Chordata; Mammalia; Artiodactyla; Bovidae. The record is from RNAcentral.